Molecule: ribosomal RNA, 468 nt
Filed under: uncultured bacterium
Lineage: Bacteria
Description: partial 16S ribosomal RNA
Rfam family: Bacterial small subunit ribosomal RNA
Source: RNAcentral
GACGAACGCUGGCGGCGUGCUUAACACAUGCAAGUCGAACGGAAGGGCCCUGCUUGUGUGGGGUGCUCGAGUGGCGAACGGGUGAGUAACACGUGAGUAACCUGACCUUGACUGUGGGAUAACGUCAGGAAACUGGUGCUAAUACCGGAUAGCAGCUCCUGCUGCAUGGUGGGGGUUGGAAAGUUUCGGCGGGUGGGGAUGGACUCGCGGCUUAUCAGCUUGUUGGUGGGGUAGUGGCUUACCAAGGCAUUGACGGGUAGCCUGCCUGAGAGGGUGACCGGACCCAUUGGGACUGAGAUACGGACCAGAGUCCUACGGGAGGCAGUAGUGGGGAAUAUUGCACAAUGGGCGGAAGCCUGAUGCAGCAACGCCGCGUGCGGGAUGCCGGCCUUCGGGUUGUAAACCGCUUUCGCCUGUGACGCAGCGUGAGUGACGGUAAUGGGUAAAGAAGCACCGGCUAACUACGUG